This 429-nucleotide ribosomal RNA is filed under the name Bacteroidota bacterium. Its description in RNAcentral is "Bacteroidetes bacterium partial 16S ribosomal RNA". It matches the Rfam family "Bacterial small subunit ribosomal RNA", at positions 355 to 776 of the family's 1533-position model. The record is from RNAcentral. Lineage: Bacteria; Pseudomonadati; Bacteroidota.
UAGGGAAUCUUCGGCAAUGGGGGGAACCCUGACCGAGCAACGCCGCGUGAGUGAAGAAGGUUUUCGGAUCGUAAAGCUCUGUUGUUAAGGAAGAACGAGUGUGAGAAUGGAAAGUUCAUACUGUGACGGUACUUAACCAGAAAGGGACGGCUAACUACGUGCCAGCAGCCGCGGUAAUACGUAGGUCCCGAGCGUUGUCCGGAUUUAUUGGUCGUAAAGCGAGCGCAGGCGGUUAGAUAAGUCUGAAGUUAAAGGCAGUGGCUCAACCAAUGUAGGCUUUGGAAACUGUUUAACUUGAGUGCAGAAGGAGGGAGUGGAAUUCCAUGUGUAGCGGUGAAAUGCGUAGAUAGGUGGAGAAACGCCGGUGGAGAAAGCGGCUCUCUGGUCUGUAACUGACGCUGAGGCUAGAAAGCGUGGGGAGCGAAGAGG